ACAUAAAAUGAAUGGCAAAGAUCAUGAUUAGUAAAAUAAAAAGAAGUGUUACCAUUAAAAACCAGGAACAAACUUACUUGUACUUAAAUUGUUUUGAAAGUACAAACCAAUGCAGUAAGAAAAUAAGUUAAAGUAUCAAGUAUAUACAAAUGGAGGCAAAUUUAUUAUUAUUUGCACAUGAUAAGAUUGUAUACAUGGAAAGAGAAUCAGCUGAAGAACUGUUUUAAUGGUAAGAGAAUUUUAGAGAUCGGCUGGUUAAAAAAUUAAUAUAUAAAAUUAAAUAGCUUCCUAGACACAAAUAGUAAAGUUAGAAAAUCAAAUGCAGCAAAGAUCUAAUUUACAACAGCAACAAAAGAGUUACAUUGUCUAGGAAUAAACUGGAAAAAUGUUCAUUGUUGGAAGCAAAUGAUGAAACUCUACUGAGGCAUAAAUGAAGAAAUUGAAAAAAGGAAAAGGCACAUUUCUUAUGGAUACAUAGGUAUCUUGUUCACCAAUUAGAGAUCAAAAGUCACAAGCUCUCAGACAAUUUGAACCAAACUGUGCCAGUCACUUCAGUAAGAGGGAUGAGGUUUCACUAUCUGGCUUCAUGCUUUUGGUAUUGGUAAAGGUGCUUAAAAAUAGGAUUAGUGAAAAAAGUAUGGCUAAGAUGGAACAGUGGUCCUCAGAGUUAAGAACACAUCAUAAUCAAGCAGGGCUUGUUAAGACACAGGUUUCUUGGUUCCUCUUUCAGAGUUUUCAAUCUUAUAGGUCCUGGAUGAGGCCUCAGGUUGUAUAUUUCUAACAAAUUCCCAGGUGAUGUUGAUGCUGCCGGUUCUAUGCUUUGGAAGCCCCUGGCGUAGAGAACGAUUUAUGCAAAAAUCCCUUUCCAAGUCAUACAGCAUAGAGAGCCUUUCAAAUGGUUCGUGUGACUUGAUUCUUCCUGGACGCUAGACAAGAACCUGGGCGCCGAGAGGGCAGGGGCUGCCACUCUGACCCUCCACUGAGCAGGUUGGCACUUGGCUGUCCCCGGAUGGCAGAGGUGAAAGAGCAUUGGUUGUAACACAUUUGGAUGCUGCUCAGAAGCUUCUCUGCUCACCACUGAGCCACUUGUAGCCUUGAUGCUCAGCUGCUCGUGUUGCUCCACCACCUGAAGUCUUUUA
RNAcentral lists this long non-coding RNA (1139 nucleotides) under Homo sapiens (human). RNAcentral describes it as "HSALNT0224047". The record is from RNAcentral. Lineage: Eukaryota; Metazoa; Chordata; Mammalia; Primates; Hominidae.